Homo sapiens (human) is the source of this 4641-nucleotide long non-coding RNA. RefSeq lists it as uncharacterized. The transcript has 2 exons. The record is from RefSeq and is a predicted model, not a curated record. Lineage: Eukaryota; Metazoa; Chordata; Mammalia; Primates; Hominidae.
CUAUGUUGCCCAGGCUGGCUUCAAAUUCCUGGCCUCAAGCAAUCCUCCUGCCUCAGCCCCCUAAAUUGCUGGGAUUAGAAACAUGAACCAUUGUUCCUGGCUGUUAAUGUGAUUUUUAAGAGAGGGGUUAAAAAAAUCUGUUAACUUAGAAUAAAGUUUUGACAAUCCCGGUUCUGGUUAGUGCAUAAGUUUUCAUCUUUGUUUUAUAGCCAUGAAGUACAAUCAAGAAGAAAUUGAAAAACAGUCAGAGUUAGAUGAUGAGCUUCAUCGUUUGUCAUGCAGGAUUUUUAUCCCCUGAAGAACCUGCUAGAGAAGUCCACCUUCACCCUUAACCACUGGUGCCUCAACUUAAUACUUUUAAAAUUCAUUUGUUUCUGUUGGAAUUGGGAUACUAAGGCUUUGCUAUCAGGAUGAUGCUGGGCUCAUAAAAUGAGUUAGGGAGGAUUCCCUCUUUUUCUAUUGAUUGGAAUAGUUUCAGAAGGAAUGGUACCAGCUCCUCCUUGUACCUCUGGUAGAAUUAGGCUGUGAAUCCAUCUGGUCCUGGACUUUUUUUGGUUGGUAAGCUAUUAAUUAUUGCCUCAAUUUCAGAGCCUGUUAUUGGUCUAUUCAGAGAUUCAACUUCUUCUGGGUUUAGUCUUGGGAGGGUGUAUGCGUUGAGGAAUUUAUGCAUUUCUUCUAGAUUUUCUAGUUUAUUUGCAUGGAGGUGUUCACAGUAUUCUCUGAUGGUAGUUUGUAUUUCUGUGGGAUCGGUGAUGAUAUCCCCUUUAUCAUUUUUUAUUGCAUCUAUUUGAUUCUUCUCUCUUUUCUUCUUUAUUUGUCUUGCUAGCGGUCUACCAAUUUUGUUGAUCUUUUCAAAAAACCAGCUCCUGGAUUCUUUGAUUUUUUGAAGGGUUUUUUGUGUAUCUCUUUCAGUUCUGCUCUGAUCUUAGUUAUUUCUUGCCUUCUGCUAGCUUUUGAAUGUGUUUGCUCUUGCUUCUCUAGUUCUUUUAAUUGUGAUGUUAGGGUGUCAAUUUUAGAUCUUUCCUGCUUUCUCUUGUGGGCAUUUAGUGCUAUAAAUUUCCCUCUACACACUGCUUUGAAUGCGUCCCAGAGAUUCUGGUAUGUUGUGUCUUUGUUCUUGUUGGUUUCAAAGAACAUCUUUAUUUCUGCCUUCAUUUCGUUAUGUACCCAGUAGUCAUUCAGGAGCAGGUUGUUCAGUUUCCAUGUAGUUGAGUGGUUUUGAGUGAGAUUCUUAAUCCUGAGUUCUAGUUUGAUUGCACUGUGGUCUGAGAGAUAGUUUGUUAUAAUUUCUGUUCUUUUACAUUUGCUGAGGAGAGCUUUACUUCCAAGUAUGUGGUCAAUUUUGGAAUAGGUGUGGUGUGGUGCUGAAAAAAAUGUAUAUUCUGUUGAUUUGGGGUGGAGAGUUCUGUAGAUGUCUAUUAGGUCUGCUUGGUGCAGAGCUGAGUUCAAUUCCUGGAUAUCCCUGUUAACUUUCUGUCUCGUUGAUCUGUCUAAUGUUGACAGUGGGGUGUUAAAUUCUCCCAUUAUUAUUGUGUGGGAGUCUAAGUCUCUUUGUAGGUCUCUAAGGACUUGCUUUAUGAAUCUGGGUGCUCCUGUAUUGGGUGCAUAUAUAUUUAGGAUAGUUAGCUCUUCUUGUUGAAUUGAUCCCUUUAUCAUUAUGUAAUGGCCUUCUUUGUCUCUUUUGAUCUUUGUUGGUUUAAAGUCUGUUUUAUCAGAGACUAGGAUUGCAACCCCUGCCUUUUUUUGUUUUCCAUUUGCUUGGUAGAUCUUCCUCCAUCCCUUUAUUUUGAGCCUAUGUGUGUCUCUGCACAUGAGAUGGGUUUCCUGAAUACAGCACACUGAUGGGUCUUGACGCUUUAUCCAAUUUGCCAGUCUGUGUCUUUUAAUUGAUUUAAUGGUGAGAGAGAAAAAAAAAUUGCAUCUAGUUCUCUUUGCUAUCUCCCAUGAAUCAUUGCAUUUAACAUGUUAUUUCUGCUCAACUUUAGUUCAUUUUCAAUGUGCAUUUUUAGUGAUGUCAGAGUAUGUGUCAUUUAAUUAAAUCCCCGCCCUUGCUUUAGAUUUUCUGUGCAUGGGGUGUGAGGCACAUAUGCAGUCUGUGCCAUGUUGUAUUUGUUUUGUACCAUGUUGUUUGGCCUAUUUUGCUUCCAUGCUGUCCUCCAUUGUUAAGGUGAUUUGGAGUUGUUUUACUUUUGAAUUUUAUCCUUUCUGUUCUUGGUGUGACAACUUUCUAAAUAUUUCCUUAUUAAAGUAGUGAUAUAUAGAUGAUUUCCUUUUUAAAGCAUAUUUACUAUGUCCUUUAAUGUUUUAAACAGUUUUAUGGAGGUAUUUAUUGAAGUAUUUUUAUCAAACAUGACUAUUUAAAAUCCCUAUCAACUUUGUGUAGUGAUUCUUUCUUGUUCUAUGACACUUAGUAAUAUAUCUUAGAAUUUGCAUCUUAAUUUUUUUCUAACUAAAUCUCAGUCCUAAUCCCAUAUCAUUUUUUAUUUCUUUUGAUAUGUGUGUGUAUUUAUUCCCUUUGAUGUUCAUAGUAUGUUUCAUUGAGGUUCAAGGUUGAUUUUUUGGGGAAAAGAAAAAGCACCUUUGCAGAAAAGUCAGUUUUUCUAGAGCUAGUUAGGCAGGCCCUCAUUCCUGGUUUGGUUUCAAUUGCAGAGAGUUCUUGUAUCUCUGCAGGGGAAUUUCUGACUCAUGGGGUGGGUCCCUGACUCCUUACUCCUCUCUGAUUGAGUGAACCAGCAUCUGGGGCAAAUACGUAGCAGUCAGAUGCUCUGAUGAAUGUCCCUGUUCAGUUCUUUGACUUUUUUGUAUCCUCCUUAAAUAAUAAUGGUUUUAAAGAUAAGCAGAAGCCUAUCUAUAGUACUUUAUAGAUCUCAGCAGGGAUUAUUCAUCUUACAGUUAAUACAGGAAGAAACAUCUUUGAUACGGAAAGACUAGGGUGUUAAUUCAGCAAUCUCUGGUUAGGAGAAAAGUAGCCUAGUUUAUUACUUCUUCACUACUUUUGCCUGGAUGACCUGAAUUUUAAUCAAGAAGUUCUUUCCUCUCUAUAUGCGCUCCCCCAUUUUCCCACUUUUGUAUUGACUUUCCCACUAUUGUAUUUCUAAUGCACCUUCUUAAUCACUGGAGAAAGCUUUGAGGCAUGUAAGAGGUCCUAGCACCAUUUUCAGUCUUAAAGUUUCAUAGCCACCAGCUUUAUGGGACUCUAUUAUCAGGCCUUUCAAACAAAUUCUUCCCUUCCCUCACAAUCCCAAGCUAUUGAUCUUUUCUCUAAGGAAGCCUUUUGUAUUACUAAUUAAGACUAGGUGACUAUAUUAAAACAGGGUUAUCUUCUAAAAGAUUUAUAUAAAUGAUAAAACAGAGGCUAAGUAUUUUUGUAAGGACAGCAAUUUGAAGUCAGUUAAUGCCUAGAGUGACUGUUUCAUUCUUCUGCUAUGGCUCUGGUGACUUCCUGAUAAUUCUGUCCGAGCCCCUGUGUCCAGUUCCAGGACCUAAGAAUGGAAGAGCUCUGGAGGCUGAAGGUGGAAGAUGGAUCCCCCUUUCAGGGACAGUGAAAGGAGGGUUAAUCUUUCCUGAAGCUGUUAGUCUGGUAUCUAUUAGCACACAUGAGAAUUAGAAACCUUGCAACUUUAGAAAUAGUAUCUGUGUAGUAAAUGCUGUCUGUGUACCAAUUUGUAUAGCUUUUAAUAGAAAUAUCUUAUUUUUGGAUGGAAAAUGUGUGUAAGCUUGUGACUAAAAUAGUUCUGGAUGGAAGACCAUUCAGUAUCUUCUGAAAAAAAAAUUGUCUUCUGGAACUAAAACAUGAAAAAAAAACCUAUCCAUUAUUGCUUUUUUUUAAAUAAAGAAAACCAGUGCUGUGUAAUCCAUAUUUUACCAAUAUUAAUUAUGUCUUAGAACCAUUUAAGAAUGAUGGUUUACAUAUCCUAUUUUAAAGUCAAGAUUUUAAAGAGCUUUUAUUUGUUAUUACUAAUUAUUGGGAGAAUAUUGAAAAAUUUUCAAUUUAAAUGUUGAAUUAAAAAUGUAACCUUUUUGGCUGGGUGCGGUGGCUCACGCCUGUAAUCCCAGUACUUUGGGAGGCCAAGGCGGGUGGAUCACGAGGUCAGGUGUUAAAGACCAGCCUGGCCAAGAUGGUGAAACCCCAUCUCUACUAAAAAUACAAAAAUUAGCCGGGCGUGGUGGUGGGCGCCUGUAAUCCCAGCUACUCAGGAGGCUGAGGCAGGAGAAUCACUUGAGGCCGGGAGGCGGAGGUUGCAGUGAGCCGAUAACGCACCACUGCACUACAGCCUGGGUGGCAGAGCGACACUCCGUCUCAAAAAAAAGAAAAGUAACCUUUUAUAAAUAUGGGGCUGAAAACGUUAUUUUUAAAUUUUGGAAAAAGUUCUACUAGCUUGAAGAUUACUUAGAUUUAUUUUUUCUUGGCUUAUUUAGAUAUUUGGCCUAUUUUUAAAACUAUAAAUAAAUAAUUGGAUUUUAAUUUGAUAGAGAAUCAGAAAAACAGAGACUUUAUAUAAUUUUUGUUACAUUUGAAUUCAUUUUAUAAAUAUAUGUUGUAAAAAUUCUUCCAGUGCAAUAUUUUUUGGAAAAUAUUGUUCUAGUCGUUGUUUGUAUAGGUUUAUUUCUAAUUAUAUUAAAAGUAAAAUUAGAAAAAUA